Molecule: non-coding RNA, 366 nt
Organism: Paramuricea clavata
Lineage: Eukaryota; Metazoa; Cnidaria; Anthozoa; Malacalcyonacea; Plexauridae
Source: the annotation of a GenBank genome assembly
UACAACACAGACAAUGUAAAUGCCUCUCGAUCACGUUGACUAUCACGAAGCAGAAACGCACCAUUUUUGCCAAUUCUUGUGCAGAUUCUCAUGGCUUCGUUGCUUGAGAUACAUCCAUGGUACCACGGCAGUGACUCUGCCAUAAUAGGGUUACAAGAUUAGCAAAACUGAUGUUGAUCGCCUUCUACAUUUAACUCAUUUAAUUGACUUGUGUAUAAUUGUGUUUGUCCGUUCCCCAUGAGCAGUCACAAAUAAUAUUGUGAAGCAGUCCAGCUGAGACAAUUGUUGAAUGUAGCACAAAAGGCUGAAGACAGACAGAAGAGAAUUGGAGUAGGUUAGAAUUUCCGGCUGUAAAUUGAAUUAAUG